GACGAACGCUGGCGGCGUGCUUAACACAUGCAAGUCGAGCGGUAAGGCCCUUUCGGGGGUACACGAGCGGCGAGCGGGUGAGUAACACGUGGGUGACCUGCCCUCAGCUCUGGGAUAAGCCUGGGAAACCGGGUCUAAUACUGGAUAUGACUCCAUGACGCAUGUUGUGGGGUGGAAAGCCUUGUGCGGCUGAGGAUGGGCCCGCGGCCUAUCAGCUUGUUGGUGGGGUGAUGGCCUACCAAGGCGACGACGGGUAGCCGGCCUGAGAGGGCGACCGGCCACACUGGGACUGAGACACGGCCCAGACUCCUACGGGAGGCAGCAGUGGGAAUCUUGCGCAAUGGGCGAAAGCCUGACGCAGCGACGCCGCGUGAGGGAUGACGGCCU
RNAcentral lists this ribosomal RNA (387 nucleotides) under uncultured bacterium. RNAcentral's name for it is "bacterial SSU rRNA". It matches the Rfam family "Bacterial small subunit ribosomal RNA", at positions 28 to 417 of the family's 1533-position model. The record is from RNAcentral.